GGCCAGUUAGCUCAGCUGGUCAGAGCCUGGUGCUAAUAACGCCAAGGUCAUGGGUUCAACCCCCCAUACUGGCCA
Molecule: non-coding RNA, 75 nt
Organism: Salarias fasciatus (jewelled blenny)
Lineage: Eukaryota; Metazoa; Chordata; Actinopteri; Blenniiformes; Blenniidae
Source: the annotation of a RefSeq genome assembly